GACGAACGCUGGCGGCGCGCUUAACACAUGCAAGUCGAGCGAUGAAACUUUAACAGGACUCUUCGGGGCGAAGACAAAGUGGAUUAGCGGCGGACGGGUGAGUAACACGUGAGUAACCUGCCUUAGACAUUGGGAUAGCCCCGGGAAACCGUGAUUACUACCAAAUAAAAUCAUAAUAACACAUGUCAUAACGAUCAAAACUCCGGUGGUCUAAGAUGGACUCGCGUCCCAUUAGCUAGUUGGGAGGGUAAAAGCCUACCAAGGCGACGAUGGGUAGCCGGCGUGAGAGGGGGAACGGCGACAUUGGAACUGAGAAACGGUCCCAACUCCUGCGGGAGGCGGCAGUGGGGGAUAUUGCACAAUGGAGCGAACUCUGAUGCAGCGACGCCGCGUGAACGGAGUAGGCGUUCGAGUCGUAAAGUUCUAUUAUAUGGGAAGAUAAUGACGGUACCUGAAGAAGAAGCCCCGGCUAACUACGUG
RNAcentral lists this ribosomal RNA (480 nucleotides) under uncultured bacterium. RNAcentral's name for it is "partial 16S ribosomal RNA". It matches the Rfam family "Bacterial small subunit ribosomal RNA", at positions 28 to 507 of the family's 1533-position model. The record is from RNAcentral.